This is a long non-coding RNA of Nelumbo nucifera (sacred lotus), 1559 nucleotides long. RefSeq lists it as uncharacterized. Lineage: Eukaryota; Viridiplantae; Streptophyta; Magnoliopsida; Proteales; Nelumbonaceae. The record is from RefSeq and is a predicted model, not a curated record.
AUGCAUUUCUUAUACUAUUAAGGGUAAUUGGAAACUGGAAUUCAUUUGAGAUGCAAGGGUUGCUUUUCAGAUUCAAGAUGUCCAACCCCGUGUGUUAAUUGAUAUUGUUUUGGUUACAGUGAAACCCUAUGUUAACAUGGAUAGAGGACCGUUCAGUGCGACCAUUGAAAAUCAUUAUGAUUUUUCUUUCAUUUUGGGAGUCGCAAGAACUAAUUAAAUAAAUAAAUUUUUGUCACAUGAAGAAAAUUAGGGGAAGGGGUACCGUAAUGAUUCCAUGGUCUAGUGGUCAGGACAUUGGACUCUGAAUCCAGUAACCCGAGUUCAAAUCUCGGUGGAACCUCGUUUUCAUUUUCCCGGAAAUAUCCAAUCCAAGCAUAUGAGUAAAGUAAAUAGUAAAUCUCUUGUUAUCAUGUUCAUGGUGGACGGAACUCGGAAACAAGAGCGGAGCGGAGACAAGUCCCAACUCCCAAUUUCCUCACUGAUUUUUCGAUGAAGGCAACUCUCCCCAUUCCCUCUCUCCGAAGUCCGAACGCUAUUGUUGCAUCUGCACCCACCCUGCAGCAAUCAUAAAGUGGUUCCCAGCUUCAACCAAUAUCGCCUUUUUGCGCCUUCCCAUCCUUCCUAGCCUAGGUGACGAUUCUACUACUCCAUCGGAUGUAAUUUCCGUAAAUGAAUGAAUUGCUCACUGAAGAGUGAAGACGCAGAUAAAUUUCUUCUAUUUCACUUUUCCCCCAACCAAUCUUACUUAAUCUUUACUAGCUUGAUAUCUAAAGGUUUCUAUCGCAGGACCUGUAUGGAAUCUUAUUCACCUUUCUUUGAUCUUCGAUGAGUAUUCUUCCCUCCCAAUUGAAAAAAUAAAAGCAUGAUGAUAGUUCAAGUGAAGUCAGGGAGUAUCAGAAUGUGCUCCUGAAAAGGGUUUGGGCGUGAAACUUACUUCAUUAAUUUAUUCAUUUUUAUGUUUUCUUUUUCCCAAUUCAGGUUCGUAUUAGAGCAUGUUCGUAAAGUUGGAGUAUUGGGAUUGUAGUUUUGGUCAGUGGUCAGUAAGAGCUAUUUGUGGACAUCUGUAAAUGUGAUGGUUCCGAUCAUGAUAUAAUAUUCUUGUGGAAAAUCACAUCCUUUUCUUCUAUGAGUGAAUGAUGAGUUUUAAUUUUUAAUUUCUAUUCAUCAUAGAAUAACUUGUUUUAUAGGCGAUGUAUAAGUGUUUAACUGGUUGGAAAGUGGAAUUGGAGGACUGUAAUGGUGAGGGGGAAAUUCAAGCAUCUGGUGGUAGGUACAGGCGGCAGGGGCAAAGAAUGGGCGGAGUUUCCUUGAGAGAGAACCAGAGAAGGAAGUAUCAAUGACCAUUGAUCAAAAUCAAGGUAGAUUGUAUUUAUAAAUUCUUUUCUUUCGGAUUACUUGUAAUGCGCAUUUCUCUUUUUUUAUCUUUUCUGUGGGCGGAGUUUCCUUGAGAGAGAACCAGAGAAGGAAGUAUCAAUGACCAUUGAUCAAAAUCAAGGUAGAUUGUAUUUAUAAAUUCUUUUCUUUCGGAUUACUUGUAAUGCGCAUUUCUCUUUCUUUUA